CGGCACUCCUAUUUUAGAUGCCUCAGUGAAGUGCCUGACGUCACAAGGAAGGGAGCUAGAACAUCAGUCUGCAUCUGUUGUCUUCUGCAGAGGGUUGUCAUCGGUCAUCUUGUCUGCAGAAGCAGUUCAUGCACAUGCUUAUGGUUGCCUGGUUUUGACCCAGCGAAUGCGCAAGGAGGAAAGCUUUCUGUUCCUGCUCACUACAUCUUGGUUUCAGGAAAGUGUCUUUUUACUAUACUGUGGUAUGUAGGUCUGGGAGACACAAGAACAUUUGUGAAUUUAUGUACAUAAUGUCACAAGUGAAGGCCGACAAAGGAAAAACUAAUACUGUUUCUCUUUUACUCUGAUUGAGUGUAACUACUCGCUAGUUUUAUGGCAAACCAGUUCAUUAGCAUUUAAAUCGAUUCUUAAAUAUUUUCCUUGAAAUUUGGAGCAAUAUAAGCCUUAAAUCCAGGACUGGUAAUGUUGUGAUUUUUAUGUCUAAUUUUAGAUUUAAUUUUUGGUCUGAUAAAUUGCGAUUAUAUAGCCAUGCAAUUUCAGAGCGCCGCUUUUAAAUGCACGAAUUUGUGCUUAGCCUUUAAUGAGUAAAAUAAUAAAAUAAAAAGGAAGAAGGCAUUACCUUAUGUCCAUAUGCAAAAUGACAGCAAACCCUGAAAUUCUUGGCAAUAAAACCCUCAUGCAUGCCAGUUACAGAGCUUACAAAUUAAAAGCCUAGACAGAAGAUGUAACUGUGUACAGGACAUAAAAUAUCAAUAGAAAAAUGACCUACGUAAUCCUGUAAAUUCAAUGCCAUGGGCUUCAGUCUGCAAAUACUUAUACUGUUCCAAACUUUACAAGUGCAAGAGGUCGGAUGACCUCCAUCCAGUCUCUGCCCACAUCUAAUGACAUUUAGUCGUCACAACAAUCUCUCUCUGACAGCACCUGCCCUACCAGUGCCUCUGGCUGGAGAGGAGCAUUGGUGGGAACUGUAGGGAAUGAGUCACAUGCAAUUACAGUGUAUAGACAUUAAAAAAUGCACCUUGUCUAUCUCCGCUGUAUACUUCCAGCCAUUACUUCCUCUGCUAAAUUUGACCACCUACCCCUCAGCGCAUAAAAGAAAAAAAAGUUUCAUACUGCUACAAAAAUGCAAAACUCACCAUAACGCAAAGUUAUUUGGCUUUUAAAUGACGUGUGAAUGGAGCACGUUUUCACUCCAUUUAUAUUAUUCUGUUAGUUAAUCUUACCCCACGGAUUGUAAAAUCCUCAUGAGUUUUGUGGUUGCAAGAGUCGGGGAUUUUUUUCAUCUGUGGUUUCUACAGCUGAGUAAUCUGGUGCCUCUUCAAUCACAACUAGAACUGGAAAUCCUUCUGAGACUGACAAGUUAACAAAUGGACACUAGCAAUAUUGUAUUGCUCAUCUGCCUGAUGUUGUAUUUUAAUUAGAUUGAGGAAGAUAAAAAGGCUCUUUCUUCAGGUAUAAGUUACUACAAGACCCUUGGGGGAUAAAACGAAACUGUUUAAGGGAAGGGACUGCUUAUGCUAUUAGUCACAGGAGGCUGACUUCUUUCAGUCCUGGCCUGUUGACAGAUAUUGCUAAUGUUGUAAAAGAAUCACCCCUUCACUCUGAAGUGUGCACUGUUUCAGAUGAUGGAGUUCCGCAACACUGACAAUUGCACAUCUUCUGUAUUGCGUUACAAAUGAAAAGUUGCUUUGAGAACAUCCCUGUUGCGUAUUAGCCCAUGAAGACAUUGGUCUUUGGUGUGAGAAAGGCUAUCUCAAGGUUACAGCCAGAUGUCCCAGAUCAUUCAAAUCUAAUCCACGAGUCUGAACCUUUGAAAAAGAUCUGCUCCCAGUGGGACUGUGAACUUUGCAUCUUUGACCUAUCUGUUAUUUAUUAUGAAAGAUCUUCAUGAACCAAGCCCAAACCUUCGUACAGUCAAGAACUGCAACAGCGACUUCGGUGGACUUUGGGCCAAAUCUCGUCACACGACUACAAAUAAUCCAAAUGCAGAGAGGACAUGAUGAUCCUAAGCCUCACAAGGUCAGAGCAACCUCUCAUCAGGACCUGUACCAGCCUCAAAGGAAUCCUCCACACCAGUAUUACCAAGAUGGUCAUUUAUUUAUAAGGAAAUCAUAUAGAGGUUGAAAUGUCCAAGAACAACCCUGGAGGUAUAUGUUAUAAGAAGUAUGCUUUACCCUUAUCACCCAUGGCAUUGGCCAGAUGGUACCAGCCUUGUGUAAAGGAGCCUGAUCAGCUCACGCCACCUCCGAGUCCCAGAGGAGAAUGGCGUGAAGAGAUUCAACUGGGAAGGUCCUGAGCAGACAGGAGCCUCUUCCGUAUGAGACAUUAUAGCUGAGAUAAUAUAGCAAUUACUUGUAAUACCAGCUCACCACAACCUUGAAAAAUCCAUACUUUUCCUCGUGAGAGGAUAGUCAGCUGCAGCCCAAGCAGGAGAUAACAGCAUGGAAAAAAAAAAUUAAAGAUAAACUAGCAGAAAACAACAGAGUGGCUGGGGAGCCAAUGGAGAACUGUAGGUCAAAACAGCACAGGAUGACCCAGAGGCUGCAUUUUGAUGAAGCUUGUUUCAUGGCAGUGCUUGUUGUUUGGGUAACUGAGAUGCAAGGCAAGGCAGCCCCAGGGAGCUCUGGCACAAGGCGACUGGAGCUGCCUCUUCAGGACUGCAGAGGUCCAUGUUUCGCAUGUAUUGACUGAUGCUGCUUAAAGCUGGCCUCUGUGGAAGUGCGCCUACAGUUGCCUGCAGAGCUUCUGAAAACUGCUUUUCUCAAUAGAGCUUGUUUCAUUUCCACAGGAAACAGAGAACCUUUCGGUUACUGCUCAGCAUUUGGUGCACAUCAUAGCAGGUGCUCCUGACAGCCUGGAGGGGAGAGAGGCAGUAAGGAGCUGCACUGGGCACAGAGCUGAGCGUACCUUAUUGUUUUGCCAAGUUUCAACAGACCAGCAAAUUUUAAAAGGUUAUACUUGCCUUUAAAUGCAUCAUGUAACUCAUUCUGUUGCAGUCUAUCCAUCUGGCACGAUGUGCUUACAGGGAAAAAGGAUCCCCGUUUCACUAAAAUCUGAGAAUUAGCAAGGAAAUCUGGUUUUCUAUCAGAAAAAAGAGGGGCCGGAGGUAUUGCAGGGUAUUGUGCAGUUUUGUAGAAGUUUGAAGUUGUGUAUUUCUCACCUGCUUGAAUGAUGCUUAUGGUAUAUUCUUGCAUAACUGAAAAUGCACAGAGAGAGAGAGAGAGAGAGACAGAGAGCCAUUUGGAAGCAGUUUUCCAAUAUGUGCAAGUCACUUGAGCUUGGCGGGCAGAACUCACCAUUACGAGCCAUUCAGGCACUUUGGAAAAUGUGUUCUGGUAAUUAAGCAUGGGCAGCCGUGAGCCUGGUCAAUAUUCUGUGCUGCAGCCUCCUCCAGGGUGGCCUCAAUCCCCCACCUCCUUCCAGCUGCACAUAGAAGAAUGGCAAGGUACAGAGGGCUGGUGCCUGUGCCCAAAGGCUGGUGAUGAAAGGAGCAUGGGAGGAGCCAAGUAUGAGCAGUAUUUCUCCUCUCCUCUGUGCAGCCAUUUGUGGCCCAGAUGAGCCUCAGGUUGGUCUGGCUCAUGGUGUAUUUGGCAGCUCGCAGUGGAUUUCUUCUUCCAGACUCUCCCAGUCAAUCAGUGUUUUCUGAGCAGCCAGCCACAACGUGGAAGCAGGGAAUCAAUGUGCACUUUGGUCCUGCUUGCCAUGGGUCCCUCUGCUAACAACCCCAAGCAAGGUACAGGGCUCUGAUCUGCUGAGUUCAGCACCUGUCAGGAGGGCCCUGUGCCAGAGAGAUUUCCAAAUAAUAUUUGUUCUACAUCUCUUAAAGACACAGGGUGCAGCCAAGGCUCCUGUCCUGUUAUGGCACCUUUUUCUGGGCAUGCAGUGUGUCUAGCAAAUAGAUGCUAAAGUCAAUGCUAAAAGAAAAACUCGACAUUGAAGUCCACAGAAGAAACCAGAAAGGCAAAUAAAUACGAAAAGUACAUUUCUGAGGUUUUAUUUCAUAUGCAUACAUGCAUUAAUGUUAGUAAUUAAUAGAAGUUGUGAUGUGAUUUAAUCCUUCGGCAACUUUACCUUCGUGUCCCCUUUCAAGAAAUAAAAUCAUCAGUGGAGGGAGGAUGGUAUAGAAGAACUAAGACUCAUAAUGUGAAGAAAGACAGUAUUAUUGGCAUUUUCCCUUUCAUAUUUUAAUUUGGCCAAAUUAGAUAAACAUUUUUACUUAAACAAUGAACCCAGAUUGGAUUCAGUUGAGUUACUCAGUGAAAGAAUGUAUUAUUUUCUUAAUUUCCCCCAGGAAAGAAAGGUUUCCUCAUUACUUGUAUGUGCCAUCAAACUCAAAUGGUAUGAAGAAAUACUGACUUAGCAAUGGAACUAUUGUGCA
Molecule: long non-coding RNA, 4378 nt
Organism: Gallus gallus (chicken)
Lineage: Eukaryota; Metazoa; Chordata; Aves; Galliformes; Phasianidae
Exons: 4
Source: RefSeq, a predicted model, not a curated record